CCCAGGAUUACAAGGCCAGCGUUCUAACCGUUAGACCACCGUCAUAUCAUGACAAAAUCCUGAAAAGUAAUUUUUCUUACAGGAUCAGUUUAGAUUAGUUCGUGUUACAUCUUCCAAGAAUACUCCAAAAUGCAGGCUUGGUCAGAAGAAAAUCUUGUAAAAGUCUGUACCCAGAUGAUAAUGAAUAGCUUCAGAACACAUCCACGCAGCCCAGUGAACUGAAGGAAAUCUAAUCUCUAGCUGUUUCGAGCUAGUCUUUACUCCAGACUAAAUUUGAUGUAACGCGAUGCCCGUCACAAAACCAGAUCUGAUUCUACGUUUCUUCCCUUGGGAACAGAAGAAUAAAAAAGAGUCUCAACGAAAAUGGUAGAAUGGAGAAAAGCAAGAAAUCCCUCAGUCUUCAAGAGGAUCACCAAAUACUGCAGCAUCCUUUGUGGUAUCGUGUAGACUAAGCGUAGUUAAGCCCAGAAAGAACUUCGACAAGGCGCGAAGAACACACGAAUUAACUCCCUGCAUGUUUUAUUUAAAUUGAUCGCCUAAAUGAAUGCAUAAUAUUUAUUACAGAAGGUAGAUUCUAGUUGAUUUGUAGGUCAUUUGACAAGUUUGUAUCAACUGUACACGAUUAACCUUAAUUUGAAGUAGAAACUCAUCUAUGAAACAUGAAUCCUGUUUUUCUCCACAAUUUUCUUGUGAGAACGCCUUAAACAUCUCUUUAAGCUUACAAAAAGUUCUCCGUUAUAGGAGUUUACAGAGUAAAUGUCAUUCAUAUUUUAACCCUUUAAAGCUUAAUAACAACUAUAUGCGCCACCUACUGAACAAUCAAUAAUUCCUGCAAUUUUUACUCAUAUUUAUAAGUGUUGUAUGAUUCUCAAUGUACACAAUGAUUAUUUCCUUAAGCAGCAUUAACUAUUUGAACUUUGGUACGGUGAAGUCUUAUGUUUCUUUGCGGUAAAUAAUAUUUAGACGGGAUUUCGCUUCAUUGGGUUUAAAAUAUUUUCAUUUUGUUUUCGUAUUUUGCAUCAACAAUCAAAUACACAAUUACAGAUAAAUAAACACAAGAAAAUUAUUAUUAUUAUUCAGUUCAGCUAUAUUUAUUUGUGUGUUGACUUAGCACCUCAAAAUUCAAUUAGAAAGUUAGCAGAGGUUAAAAAAAUACAGAAAAUACAAAUACACACAAACAAAGGCUAAACCAGGGCAAUUUAUAUCAUUCAUGUGAUAAAAUUAUUCAAACAACACAAAUUUGUAGUCAAGAGAUAUUAAGGUAGAACUUUAUAUAUUUAUUAUUGAUACAAUUAAUAUCAUAAUAAAUUGGAAAGUGCCAUAGUUAUUAUAA
This is a non-coding RNA of Zootermopsis nevadensis, 1333 nucleotides long. Lineage: Eukaryota; Metazoa; Arthropoda; Insecta; Blattodea; Termopsidae. The record is from RefSeq and is a predicted model, not a curated record.